GAGAGUUUGGCCGAGUGGUUAAGGCGUCAGAUUUAGGUACUCUGAUAUCUACGGAUGCGCGGGUUCGAAUCCCGUAGCUCUCA
This 83-nucleotide transfer RNA is filed under the name Kluyveromyces lactis. Its description in RNAcentral is "transfer RNA Leu (TAG) cove". It matches the Rfam family "tRNA". Rfam says of the family: Transfer RNA (tRNA) molecules are approximately 80 nucleotides in length. Their secondary structure includes four short double-helical elements and three loops (D, anti-codon, and T loops). Lineage: Eukaryota; Fungi; Ascomycota; Saccharomycetes; Saccharomycetales; Saccharomycetaceae. RNAcentral also lists the same sequence under 1 other name. The record is from RNAcentral.